RNAcentral lists this transfer RNA (72 nucleotides) under Bos taurus (domestic cattle). It matches the Rfam family "tRNA". Rfam says of the family: Transfer RNA (tRNA) molecules are approximately 80 nucleotides in length. Their secondary structure includes four short double-helical elements and three loops (D, anti-codon, and T loops). Further hydrogen bonds mediate the characteristic L-shaped molecular structure. tRNAs have two regions of fundamental functional importance: the anti-codon, which is responsible for specific mRNA codon recognition, and the 3' end, to which the tRNAs corresponding amino acid is attached (by aminoacyl-tRNA synthetases). tRNAs cope with the degeneracy of the genetic code in two manners: having more than one tRNA (with a specific anti-codon) for a particular amino acid; and 'wobble' base-pairing, i.e. permitting non-standard base-pairing at the 3rd anti-codon position. Lineage: Eukaryota; Metazoa; Chordata; Mammalia; Artiodactyla; Bovidae. RNAcentral also lists the same sequence under 3 other names. The record is from Rfam by way of RNAcentral.
UCCUUCAUAGCUCAGUCAGUAAAUCAUCUGCCUGCAAUGCAGGAGACCCAGGUUCGAUCCCUGGGUCAGGAA